This 929-nucleotide ribosomal RNA is filed under the name Microbacterium sp. RNAcentral's name for it is "bacterial SSU rRNA". It matches the Rfam family "Bacterial small subunit ribosomal RNA", at positions 56 to 992 of the family's 1533-position model. Lineage: Bacteria; Bacillati; Actinomycetota; Actinomycetes; Micrococcales; Microbacteriaceae. The record is from RNAcentral.
UGCAGUCGACGGUGAACACGGAGCUUGCUCUGUGGGAUCAGUGGCGAACGGGUGAGUAACACGUGAGCAACCUGCCCCUGACUCUGGGAUAAGCGCUGGAAACGGCGUCUAAUACUGGAUAUGUGACGUGACCGCAUGGUCUGCGUUUGGAAAGAUUUUUCGGUUGGGGAUGGGCUCGCGGCCUAUCAGCUUGUUGGUGAGGUAAUGGCUCACCAAGGCGUCGACGGGUAGCCGGCCUGAGAGGGUGACCGGCCACACUGGGACUGAGACACGGCCCAGACUCCUACGGGAGGCAGCAGUGGGGAAUAUUGCACAAUGGGCGAAAGCCUGAUGCAGCAACGCCGCGUGAGGGAUGACGGCCUUCGGGUUGUAAACCUCUUUUAGCAGGGAAGAAGCGAAAGUGACGGUACCUGCAGAAAAAGCGCCGGCUAACUACGUGCCAGCAGCCGCGGUAAUACGUAGGGCGCAAGCGUUAUCCGGAAUUAUUGGGCGUAAAGAGCUCGUAGGCGGUUUGUCGCGUCUGCUGUGAAAUCCCGAGGCUCAACCUCGGGCCUGCAGUGGGUACGGGCAGACUAGAGUGCGGUAGGGGAGAUUGGAAUUCCUGGUGUAGCGGUGGAAUGCGCAGAUAUCAGGAGGAACACCGAUGGCGAAGGCAGAUCUCUGGGCCGUAACUGACGCUGAGGAGCGAAAGGGUGGGGAGCAAACAGGCUUAGAUACCCUGGUAGUCCACCCCGUAAACGUUGGGAACUAGUUGUGGGGUCCAUUCCACGGAUUCCGUGACGCAGCUAACGCAUUAAGUUCCCCGCCUGGGGAGUACGGCCGCAAGGCUAAAACUCCAAGGAAUUGACGGGGACCCCCACAAGCGGCGGAGCAUGCCGGAUUAUUUCGAUGCAACGCGGAGAACCUUUACCAAGGGCUUGACAUAUAAC